RNAcentral lists this ribosomal RNA (759 nucleotides) under Triticum aestivum (bread wheat). RNAcentral describes it as "partial small subunit ribosomal RNA". Lineage: Eukaryota; Viridiplantae; Streptophyta; Magnoliopsida; Poales; Poaceae. The record is from RNAcentral.
AUGGCGCGCGUGGAGAAGGUCGCCGGCGGCGAAGGGCAGGUGGAGGUGGUGGUCGGGGUGGACGGCAAGGGGGCGAUAGAGUGCCGGAUAUGCCAGGAGGAGGGGGAGGAGGCCGCCAUGGACUCCCCCUGCGCCUGCACUGGCACGCUCAAGUUCGCGCACAGGAAGUGCAUACAGAGGUGGUGCGACAAGAAGGGGAACAUCACAUGUGAAAUCUGCAACCAGGUUUACUCUCCGAACUAUGUUCUCCCUCCAACCAAGUGCUGUUCAGAUGAAAUGGGCAUGGAUCUUAGGCAAAGCUGGGUUGGACGGAUUGAUCCCCAUGAUUCCCAUUUCCUGGCGAUCGCCAUCGCGGAGCAGCAGCUGCUGAACGCUGAAUUCGAUGACUGCAUGACCUCAAAUUCGAGUGGCGCCACAUGCUGCCGGUCUAUUGCUCUAAUUUUGAUGUUCCUUCUGCUCGUGCGCCAUGUAACCGUGAUCGUGCGAGAUGCUAGCAUGCUACAAGAUGCGACGGUUCUGUUCAGCGUGAGUCCAUAUGACCUACUUUGCCAUCUCAAUGUUCACCUCUAUGCGAUCUCGGCAUUAUGGUUUCACACUAAACUAACUGAAUAUUUUCCCUCAUUUCAGGCAAUUCUUCAGUUCGUGGGAUUCUUUCUUCCGUGUUAUGUCAUAGCGCGCUUCUGCUAUGCUUUUCAACACCGGAGGCGAAGACAGGUAUUCCCCGCUUCCCCACCCGAACCCGGAGCCAUACUAAACUGA